This 649-nucleotide long non-coding RNA is filed under the name Olea europaea (common olive). Its description in RNAcentral is "long non-coding RNA (OEUR_LNC008628)". Lineage: Eukaryota; Viridiplantae; Streptophyta; Magnoliopsida; Lamiales; Oleaceae. The record is from RNAcentral.
GCCCAUUCAUGGACCCUUUAGUUCCAUUAAGAAGCAUGACAAGUAUCUUUUUUAGUGGUAAAUUAGAAAUACUGCUUUAGACAUUCUUUUCCGAAGCAGUAAAUCAACAUCCCAUUUUUAUCAAGCUCUUAAGGGUGUUAGAUUGCACACGACAUAUUUCAUAUGCCUCUGCUGAUUGAUAUUUUGAGUUUUAAUUGUAUCUUGCAGAUAUACCUUUAGAUUGCUGCAAAUUAUGGUGUUCGUCCAGUUUCUCUUGCAAUAGGUUAUCCUAAUCUAUCUUGCUGUUAAUCACAUGCCACCAACACCAGAUUUUUUUAAUCUUAAAUUAUCCUUGUAUUUACUUCUUUGUGAUUGCCACCUGAAUUUAUUUUCCUUAUCUGGCUUCUUACAUUUUCAUAUUGUUUUCCUUAACAAUAUGAGAGUUCAUAAUGUUAGGCUAGAUUACUGGCAGAAGUUAAUUUAUAGCGUUCCUCAUGCUUGGCGCCAAUGAUGUUUGUUUAUUUUAUUUUUUAAUUUGAGAGAAGGAGAACCUACUUAUUUUUUGGGAUUUGCGUGCUCCCUUGUUAGAACCUCUAAGAGGUCCACUGAACUAGUAGUCCGUCGUUCGAGCCUCUCACUGGGGCCCGCUAUGCCAAAAGCGAGAGAAAUC